AUACGUAGGUGGCAAGCGUUGUCCGGAAUUAUUGGGCGUAAAGCGCGCGCAGGCGGUUCUUUAAGUCUGAUGUGAAAUCCCACGGCUCAACCGUGGAUGGUCAUUGGAAACUGGAGGACUUGAGUGCAGAAGAGGAGAGUGGAAUUCCAUGUGUAGCGGUGAAAUGCGUAGAGAUAUGGAGGAACACCAGUGGCGAAGGCGACUCUCUGGUCUGCAACUGACGCUGAGGCGCGAAAGCGUGGGUAGCGAACAGGAUUAGAUACCCUGGUAGUCCACGCCGUAAACGAUGAGUGCUAAGUGUUAGAGGGUUUCCGCCCUUUAGUGCUGCAGUUAACGCAUUAAGCACUCCGCCUGGGGAGUACGGCCGCAAGGCUGAA
RNAcentral lists this ribosomal RNA (377 nucleotides) under uncultured bacterium. RNAcentral describes it as "bacterial SSU rRNA". It matches the Rfam family "Bacterial small subunit ribosomal RNA", at positions 523 to 898 of the family's 1533-position model. The record is from RNAcentral.